Podarcis lilfordi (Lilford's wall lizard) is the source of this 261-nucleotide non-coding RNA. NCBI's taxonomy places the organism in Eukaryota, Metazoa, Chordata, Lepidosauria, Squamata, Lacertidae. The record is from the annotation of a GenBank genome assembly.
CAGGUUACCGUAUUUUUCGCACUAUAGGACGCACUUUUUCCCCUCCAAAAAUGAAGGGGAAAUGUGUGUGCGUCCUAUGGUGCGAAUGCAGGCUUUCACUGAAGCCUGGAGAGCGAGAGGGGUCGGUGCGCACCGACCCCUCUCGCUCUCCAGGCUUCAGGAGAGCCCCAGCGCCAGCCCCACAAGGUCGGGGGACAGAGGGAGGCGGAACGCCGCCAUCCCGCUGUCUCCCGAAGUGGUUUGGAGGCUGACGGCGGGAGA